AAAAUAAAGCCUAGUGGACAUGGCAUCUGCCCGGUAAGCGGAACACUGUGGGUUCUAUUCCCAUCCCUGGACACUUUUAUUUUU
RNAcentral lists this transfer RNA (84 nucleotides) under Cordylochernes scorpioides. RNAcentral describes it as "tRNA-Thr". Lineage: Eukaryota; Metazoa; Arthropoda; Arachnida; Pseudoscorpiones; Chernetidae. The record is from RNAcentral.